Molecule: long non-coding RNA, 779 nt
Filed under: Struthio camelus australis
Lineage: Eukaryota; Metazoa; Chordata; Aves; Struthioniformes; Struthionidae
Description: lncRNA (ENSSCUG00000013661.1)
Source: RNAcentral
GAGCAGAUGACCAUCCUGUACGACAUCUGGAACGCGGGGCUGGACGCCGAGGACAUGCACUUCCUGCGCCUCACCUACGAGCGCCUGCUGCAGGAGGACAACAGCACCGACUGGCUCAACGACACCCACUGGGUGCACCACACCGAUAUCCCCGCCCCGGGGGCGUCCGGCGCUUGGAGAUAGGGUAUCACGAUGUCUGGGUGUUGGAGGACUGGGGUGUCCGGGGGUUGGGAGACGGAGCAUCAGGAUGUCCAGGGGUUGGAGGACUGGGGCGUCCAAGGGUUGGGAUAUGGGGUGUCAGGAUGUCCGGGUGUUGGAGGACUGCGGUGUCCGGGUGUUGGGAGACGGGGCAUCAGGAUAUCCAGGUGUUGGAGGACUGCGGUGUCCGGGUGUUGGGAGAUGGGGCAUCAGGAUAUCCAGGUGUUGGAGGACUGCGGUGUCCGGGUGUUGGGAGACAGGGUGUCAGGAUGUGUGGGUGUUAGAGAAUUGUGGUGUCCAGGUGUUGGGGGACUGGGGUGUCCGAGUGUUGGGAGACAGGCGGUCAGGAUGUCCAGGUGUUGGGGACUGUGUCCGAGUGUUGAGAGACAUGGUGUCAGGAUGUCUGGGUGUUGGAGAAUUGUGGUGUCCAGGUGUUGGAGGACUGCGGUGUCCGGGUGUUGGGAGACAGGCUGUCAAGAUGUCCGGGUGUUGUAGGAGUGGGGCGUCCAGGUGUUGGGAGAUGGGGUGUCAGGAUGUCUGGGGGUUGUAGGAUUGGGGCCUCCAAGGGUUGGGAUAUGGGG